UCACAGUAGCCAAAAGCUUGAAAGCAACCCAGUGUCCCUUGACAGAUGAAAGACUAAACAAAAUGUGACAUAUAUGUACAAUGGAAUAUUA
Ceratotherium simum simum (southern white rhinoceros) is the source of this 91-nucleotide non-coding RNA. NCBI's taxonomy places the organism in Eukaryota, Metazoa, Chordata, Mammalia, Perissodactyla, Rhinocerotidae. The record is from RefSeq and is a predicted model, not a curated record.